UACGAAGGGUGCAAACGUUGCUCGGAAUUAUUGGGCGUAAAGCGCACGUAGGCGGUAUUGCAAGUCGGAUGUGAAAUCCCUCGGCUCAACCAAGGAAGUGCAUCCGAAACUGCCGUACUUGAGUACUUAAGAGGAUCGCGGAAUUCCCGGUGUAGAGGUGAAAUUCGUAGAUAUCGGGAGGAACACCAGUGGCGAAGGCGAUCUUCUGGACGGAUACUGACGUUGAGGCGCGAAAGCUAGGGGAGCAAACAGG
RNAcentral lists this ribosomal RNA (253 nucleotides) under uncultured bacterium. RNAcentral's name for it is "partial 16S ribosomal RNA". It matches the Rfam family "Bacterial small subunit ribosomal RNA", at positions 524 to 776 of the family's 1533-position model. The record is from RNAcentral.